Molecule: long non-coding RNA, 448 nt
Organism: Trachemys scripta elegans
Lineage: Eukaryota; Metazoa; Chordata; Testudines; Emydidae
Exons: 3
Source: RefSeq, a predicted model, not a curated record
AUUUCAUUUGUUUUUUUAAGUAUUUCAUGUUUUCCUUAUUUUAGACACUUCCUUGGAGUUUAUAUCCUCAAAGUGGGGAAGAGCUACCUUUGAAGGAAACAACUAAUUCUGAUCUCAGGAAAUUUCAUUUCCUAGGCCCAUCCUGAGCACUCCCACUAGGAGUUGAGUGGGUCGUUUGAGGACAGGCUUGCAGCUGCCUUCUACAAUGUCUGCACCAGGAGAAUUUGCCACCUACAAUCUACUCUGCUGAGGGCCCCUUUAAGACAUUCUGUCCCUUUUACUUGACCUAGAGGGGAACUGAUGGAAGGGAUGAUCUCACUCCAAUGAGAUGUUGACUGCUGUUAAGGUGAACACCAGGUUCUGACUGAUACAAGGAUCUCAGCACCUGGGGAGGGACAACAUCCCACUGCAGGUUGUAUAUUCCUUUUCUUUUUCUUUUUGAAGGGGA